GGGGGGCAGAAGCAGGGUCGGCUAGUACUGGGAUAAUACUACUGACCUACCAAAGAGUGCUGUUGUAAGGAUUACUGAUCCAUCAGUAUUUCUUACACUCUAUUGAAGUUUCUCAAAGUGGGCACAUGGAAGUUUCUUAAAGCACGCAAUGGAACAAUAGGAAAUAGUUGAACAGCGUGAGCACAGCUUAUGGGGUUUUUCUUCCCCCCUAAAGCCUCUUCUCUUCUUGGAUGCUACUAGGAACACCUGGUGAUGAGGUUGCAUUGGGAUUUGACAGUAAUCUGUCGGCACAUCGUAAACAUCAGGUGCCUGAAGUAUUACGAACGAUCUGUACUUUAUCUCAAAAUGUUACAGGACUGCCUACUAUAGCCAACCAUGGUUACUCGCAGCUUGAGCAUUUCUUGCAAAAUGGGCUUUUUUGUUGCAGCUGUUCAAUAAAAAGCUGCAGUCAUGG
Long non-coding RNA from Hemicordylus capensis (graceful crag lizard), 454 nucleotides. RefSeq lists it as uncharacterized. Lineage: Eukaryota; Metazoa; Chordata; Lepidosauria; Squamata; Cordylidae. The record is from RefSeq and is a predicted model, not a curated record. The transcript has 2 exons.